This is a long non-coding RNA of Mercenaria mercenaria, 786 nucleotides long. RefSeq lists it as uncharacterized. Lineage: Eukaryota; Metazoa; Mollusca; Bivalvia; Venerida; Veneridae. The record is from RefSeq and is a predicted model, not a curated record. The transcript has 3 exons.
UCUUUUACUGCUCGGUUGCCAGGAAAGAAGACAUUCAGUGCAUGUAUUCAUUACGUUCUUGCAGAAAUAUAUAGAAACAACAUGUUUUCCACUUUUUGAAGCAAACUGAUUAGCAAGAGAAAUUCGAUAGACAACUUUAAAGGCCAAUAAUGCCUUUGUUCAAUAUGUGCAUCGCACUUCAGCUGACGCUGAUGUAGUGAGUAUGAGCAAUAUCGGAAACAACAAUGGAUUCAACAACAACAACAACAACAAUGGAUUUGGCAACAACAACGGAUUCUUUGACAAUAACAACGGAUUCGGCAACAACAACGGAUUCUUUGACAAUAACAACGGAUUCGGCAACAACAACAACAACGGGUUCUUUGACAAUGGAUUUGGAAACAACAAUGGAUUCAAUAACAACAACAACAACAACAACAACAAUGGAUUCUUAUAAAAUGAAAAUCUGUCAAAUUUGUAUUUAAAGCUCGACACCAUACCCUUGGAUUUCGCAAAAAAAGAGCUGAUCAGGAAAUGGACCAAAACGCGGAGCUUACAGUUAUAUGAGUUUCGGACAUUUCCGUGUUUAAGAAAUAUAUGCCAUACAUAUAUGGCUUUAUAUAUAAUGUCAUGCAUAAUUUGCUUUUUUAUAUGCACGUGUACAUGUUUUUUCUCUUCCUGUAAAUGUGAAAAUUCCAUGCUUUCAUUUUAAACUUUAAUCGUAGCUUUGCUUACCAUGGUUACGUGACAUCACUACACUACAUCUUCUUUCCUGAUUUAAUGGCAUAUAUAUUUAAUAAAACUGUA